UGGGGAAUAUUGCGCAAUGGGCGGAAGCCUGACGCAGCGACGCCGCGUGGGGGAUGAAGGCCUUCGGGUUGUAAACCUCUUUCAGCGCCGAAGAAGCGUGAGUGACGGUAGGCGCAGAAGAAGCACCGGCUAACUACGUGCCAGCAGCCGCGGUAAUACGUAGGGUGCAAGCGUUGUCCGGAAUUAUUGGGCGUAAAGAGCUCGUAGGCGGUUUGUCGCGUCUGCUGUGAAAACUCGGGGCUUAACUCCGGGCUUGCAGUGGGUACGGGCAGACUGGAGUGCGGUAGGGGAGACUGGAAUUCCUGGUGUAGCGGUGAAAUGCGCAGAUAUCAGGAGGAACACCGGUGGCGAAGGCGGGUCUCUGGGCCGUAACUGACGCUGAGGAGCGAAAGCGUGGGGAGCGAACA
RNAcentral lists this ribosomal RNA (407 nucleotides) under uncultured prokaryote. RNAcentral describes it as "bacterial SSU rRNA". It matches the Rfam family "Bacterial small subunit ribosomal RNA", at positions 355 to 774 of the family's 1533-position model. The record is from RNAcentral.